GGACGGCGCGCCGGCGCGUUUACCGGGUGGGAGGCUUGACGGCGACCUGGAGAGUACAGCAAGAGGAUGUUUUUGCUGGUCUAGUCUCAGAAAUUAUAUCUUCAGUCUCUGCAAUGAUCCCAAGUUCAAUGGUGCCCAGUUGCCUCCAGGCCCCAGACUUCUAUGUGAACAAGAAAAGCUCACUGAGGAAAUGGUAAUUCUUCCGUGAGAUGUCAUGUCCAGUUGCAGUUAUGAGUCUUAAGACCACCUGUCAGAUGGUGUGA
Molecule: long non-coding RNA, 263 nt
Filed under: Moschus moschiferus (Siberian musk deer)
Lineage: Eukaryota; Metazoa; Chordata; Mammalia; Artiodactyla; Moschidae
Description: lncRNA (ENSMMSG00000009264.1)
Source: RNAcentral